RNAcentral lists this small nuclear RNA (100 nucleotides) under Loxodonta africana (African savanna elephant). The record is from RNAcentral. Lineage: Eukaryota; Metazoa; Chordata; Mammalia; Proboscidea; Elephantidae.
GGACUUCGGCAGCACAUAUACUAAAAUUGGAAUGAUACAGAGAUUAGCAUGGCCCCUGCACAUGGAUGACACAUAAAUUUGUGAAACGUUCCAUAUUUUU